This 253-nucleotide ribosomal RNA is filed under the name uncultured bacterium. RNAcentral describes it as "partial 16S ribosomal RNA". It matches the Rfam family "Bacterial small subunit ribosomal RNA", at positions 524 to 776 of the family's 1533-position model. The record is from RNAcentral.
UACGAAGGGGGCUAGCGUUGCUCGGAAUCACUGGGCGUAAAGCGCACGUAGGCGGACUCUUAAGUCGGUGGUGAAAUCCUGGAGCUCAACUCCAGAACUGCCUUCGAUACUGAGAGUCUCGAGUCCGGAAGAGGUGAGUGGAACUGCGAGUGUAGAGGUGAAAUUCGUAGAUAUUCGCAAGAACACCAGUGGCGAAGGCGGCUCACUGGCCCGGUACUGACGCUGAGGUGCGAAAGCGUGGGGAGCAAACAGG